CAGCCGCCACGGGAAUACGUAGGGUGCGAGCGUUGUCCGGAAUUACUGGGCGUAAAGAGCUCGUAGGUGGUUUGUCGCGUCGUCUGUGAAAUUCUGCAGCUUAAAUGUAGGCGUGCAGGCGAUACGGGCAGACUUGAGUACUACAGGGGAGACUGGAAUUCCUGGUGUAGCGGUGAAAUGCGCAGAUAUCAGGAGGAACACCGGUGGCGAAGGCGGGUCUCUGGGUAGUAACUGACGCUGAGGAGCGAAAGCGUGGGUAGCGAACAGGAUUAGAUACCCCUGUAGUCCCUGUCUCUUAUAC
RNAcentral lists this ribosomal RNA (301 nucleotides) under uncultured bacterium. RNAcentral describes it as "partial 16S ribosomal RNA". It matches the Rfam family "Bacterial small subunit ribosomal RNA", at positions 509 to 807 of the family's 1533-position model. The record is from RNAcentral.